Molecule: long non-coding RNA, 1162 nt
Filed under: Prunus persica (peach)
Lineage: Eukaryota; Viridiplantae; Streptophyta; Magnoliopsida; Rosales; Rosaceae
Description: long non-coding RNA (PPER_LNC003776)
Source: RNAcentral
UGCAUCCUUGGCACUGCUGCCAAUUCCAAUGUGAAUGAGGCCACCCAACACAUCCACACAAGCUCCCAACUUGAGAGUGUCGAUGGGACACGUGUUCUUUGGUGGUGAUGGGGUUGGCACUGGUGUUGGUGGUGGUGGAGGAGGACAUGGUGUCUCAGUGGGUGGAGGAGGCUUAACUGGUACAACUGGGGUAGGUGUAGGUGUUGGUGGGCUUGGUGGUACAACAGGUGGUGAUGGUGGUGGCUUAACUGGUACAACUGGGGUAGGUGUUGGUGUUGGUGGGCUUGGUGGUACAACAGGUGGUGAUGGUGGUGGCUUAACUGGUACAACUGGGGGCUUGGGUACAUAGGGUGGUGGGGGUUGUACAACUGGGGGCUUGGGUACAUAUGGUGGUGGUGGUUGUACAACUGGGGGUUUGGGGAUGAAGGGUGGGUGCACAAUUGGGGGUUUAGGGAUAAAAGGUGGGUGCACGAUUGGGGGCUUGGGGAUGAAGGGUGGGUGCACAAUUGGGGGCUUGGGGAUGAAGGGUGGGUGCACAAUUGGGGGUUUAGGGAUGAAGGGUGGGUGCACAAUUGGGGGUUUAGGGAUGAAGGGUGGGUGCACAAUUGGGGGUUUAGGGAUGAAGGGUGGGUGCACAAUUGGGGGCUUGGGGAUGAAGGGUGGGUGCACAAUUGGGGGCUUGGGGUGGGGUGGUGGUUUGACAAUAGGAGGCUUGGGGAUGAAGGGAGGUCUCACAAUAGGUGGUUUGGGGACAGAAGGAGGUUUUGGUAUAUGGGGAGGAUAUACAAUGGGGGGUUUGGGGCCAUGAGGUGGCUUGGGUACAUGGGGUGGAUGAGGAUGAGGUGGCUUUGAUGGUGGCUUGGGAACAUAGGGAGGCUUUACAUGAGGGGGAUGGGGUGGUUUUGAUGGUGGUUUGGGAACAUAGGGAGGCUUUACAUGAGGAGGAAGAGGUGGUUUUGAUGGUGGUUUGGGAACAGAGGGAGGCUUUACAUGAGGGGGAUGAGGUGGGUGUUUAGGUGGUUUAGGGAUGAAGGGUGGCUUUACAUGAGGAGGCUGUUUGGGUGGCAAGUGUGGAGGGUAUGUUGGUGGUGGACAGUAGGAGUUAGCAAGAGAAGUGAGCAAACUACCCAAAUUCACAAUGAGGACUAAGAGCAAAGCCAGG